GUGGAUCAGUGGCGAACGGGUGAGUAACACGUGAGUAACCUGCCCUUGACUCUGGGAUAAGCGUUGGAAACGACGUCUAAUACCGGAUACGAGCUUCCGCCGCAUGGUGAGGAGUUGGAAAGAAUUUUGGUCAAGGAUGGACUCGCGGCCUAUCAGCUUGUUGGUGAGGUAAUGGCUCACCAAGGCGACGACGGGUAGCCGGCCUGAGAGGGUGACCGGCCACACUGGGACUGAGACACGGCCCAGACUCCUACGGGAGGCAGCAGUGGGGAAUAUUGCACAAUGGGCGCAAGCCUGAUGCAGCAACGCCGCGUGAGGGAUGACGGCCUUCGGGUUGUAAACCUCUUUUAGUAGGGAAGAAGCGAAAGUGACGGUACCUGCAGAAAAAGCACCGGCUAACUACGUGCCAGCAGCCGCGGUAAUACGUAGGGUGCAAGCGUUGUCCGGAAUUAUUGGGCGUAAAGAGCUCGUAGGCGGUUUGUCGCGUCUGCUGUGAAAACUGGAGGCUCAACCUCCAGCCUGCAGUGGGUACGGGCAGACUAGAGUGCGGUAGGGGAGAUUGGAAUUCCUGGUGUAGCGGUGGAAUGCGCAGAUAUCAGGAGGAACACCGAUGGCGAAGGCAGAUCUCUGGGCCGUAACUGACGCUGAGGAGCGAAAGCGUGGGGAGCGAACAGGAUUAGAUACCCUGGUAGUCCACGCCGUAAACGUUGGGAACUAGAUGUGGGGACCAUUCCACGGUCUCCGUGUCGCAGCUAACGCAUUAAGUUCCCCGCCUGGGGAGUACGGCCGCAAGGCUAAAACUCAAAGGAAUUGACGGGGGCCCGCACAAGCGGCGGAGCAUGCGGAUUAAUUCGAUGCAACGCGAAGAACCUUACCAAGGCUUGACAUAUACGAGAACGGGCCAGAAAUGGUCAACUCUUUGGACACUCGUAAACAGGUGGUGCAUGGUUGUCGUCAGCUCGUGUCGUGAGAUGUUGGGUUAAGUCCCGCAACGAGCGCAACCCUCGUUCUAUGUUGCCAGCACGUUAUGGUGGGAACUCAUAGGAGACUGCCGGGGUCAACUCGGAGGAAGGUGGGGAUGACGUCAAAUCAUCAUGCCCCUUAUGUCUUGGGCUUCACGCAUGCUACAAUGGCCGGUACAAAGGGCUGCAAUACCGUAAGGUGGAGCGAAUCCCAAAAAGCCGGUCUCAGUUCGGAUUGAGGUCUGCAACUCGACCUCAUGAAGUCGGAGUCGCUAGUAAUCGUGGAUCAGCAACGCCACGGUGAAUACGUUCCCGGGCCUUGUACACACCGCCCGUCAAGUCAUGAAAGUCGGUAACACCCAA
Molecule: ribosomal RNA, 1325 nt
Filed under: Herbiconiux sp.
Lineage: Bacteria; Bacillati; Actinomycetota; Actinomycetes; Micrococcales; Microbacteriaceae
Description: bacterial SSU rRNA
Rfam family: Bacterial small subunit ribosomal RNA
Source: RNAcentral